CCAAAGCAUGCAUGUACUCAGGUUUGCGUCACGCACUGCGCACUGCAAGUCGGAGCACUGGAGAGUUAGCAACGCAAACUUUUGCAACCUCUAUCUACACGUGAGAGUUCUGAACGUGCCACGGGUGUAUGUUCAAGGGUCACGUGCUGUGAGCAGGACUGAAGAGCGGGUUGGCAGGGGAGAUCACUUGCUGUGUGAUUCCUGCGCGUGUACUUAUCCUGGCACAACGGCUGUGUAGAGAAAUCAAAGUCACUACUAUUGUCUAUACUGAUUGAGCUCUGAUAUGGACUUUGAUGUUGCUGUUGUCUCAGACACUGAAAGGCAGUUUUGUGUUGA
Long non-coding RNA from Oreochromis niloticus (Nile tilapia), 336 nucleotides. RefSeq lists it as uncharacterized. The transcript has 4 exons. NCBI's taxonomy places the organism in Eukaryota, Metazoa, Chordata, Actinopteri, Cichliformes, Cichlidae. The record is from RefSeq and is a predicted model, not a curated record.